AUUACACGCGAUCGGUUCUCGCAGUCAAGUCGCACGAUUUUUCCUACAAGAACUGUCGCUUUUAUUGAAAUUGAUAAAAUCGCACACUCCACGGUUCACCCCACGUACGCAUAUACAGCGCACUAAUAUGCUAUCUCACGAGUGAGACUUCCAACUAUAAAUCGAAGGACAAAGAAGCAAGGUUGCGUCUUCAACGCAACACGCGUGUGUCGUUACCUGCUAAUAAGAAUAGUGAAUAGGCACGCGAAGGCAGUGACAAUUCCGGCGACGCCGGCCACCACGAGCCACAUGGUGGGUGGCAGUAGUCCGAGCAGUCUCGCGC
Harpegnathos saltator (Jerdon's jumping ant) is the source of this 322-nucleotide long non-coding RNA. RefSeq lists it as uncharacterized. The record is from RefSeq and is a predicted model, not a curated record. The transcript has 3 exons. Lineage: Eukaryota; Metazoa; Arthropoda; Insecta; Hymenoptera; Formicidae.